RNAcentral lists this long non-coding RNA (330 nucleotides) under Androctonus crassicauda. The record is from RNAcentral. Lineage: Eukaryota; Metazoa; Arthropoda; Arachnida; Scorpiones; Buthidae.
CUCUAGUUUGCCAGUCCCCCACCCCCUCUGAGUGAGACAGGUGUUAACAUCCUAGUGACCAUCUGUGCCCCUUCUCUGUUGGGGACAACAGCCUUCAUGAGGAAGAGCCUCUCCCCAGUGCCCUGCAGUGCUCUCCCCUGUGAGCUCCCAGCUCUCCUGUUCUGAAAUAGGAACCGCCUUCUCUGGGGCAAAGGAGCAGGAAAGCUGGCACAAGCCCUGUCCUGCUUGUAUGGGUUAUCUGUUGCUGUGUAAGAAAUGUUCCGCCAUAGGGUGCCUUCCCUUGGGUAGGGAGGGAUUUGGGAGCUGCUGAGCGUGGAGACUAGCAUGGGC